This 503-nucleotide ribosomal RNA is filed under the name uncultured bacterium. RNAcentral's name for it is "partial 16S ribosomal RNA". It matches the Rfam family "Bacterial small subunit ribosomal RNA", at positions 28 to 523 of the family's 1533-position model. The record is from RNAcentral.
GAUGAACGCUAGCGGCAGGCCUAACACAUGCAAGUCGAGGGGUAGCAGGAUUAAGCUUGCUUAAUUGCUGACGACCGGCGCACGGGUCCGUAACGCGUAUGCAACCUACCUUAUACUGGGGUAUAGCCCGGAGAAAUUCGGAUUAAUCCCCCAUAGUACUAAUGAAUCGCAUGGUUUAUUAGUUAAAGCAUUGCGGUAUAAGAUGGGCAUGCGUCCUAUUAGCUAGAUGGUGAGGUAACGGCUCACCAUGGCUACGAUAGGUAGGGGGCCUGAGAGGGUGGUCCCCCACACUGGUAAUGAGACACGGACCAGACUCCUACGGGAGGCAGCAGUGAGGAAUAUUGGUCAAUGGGCGCAAGCCUGAACCAGCCAUGCCGCGUGCAGGAAGAAUGCCCUAUGGGUUGUAAACUGCUUUUAUUUGGGAAUAAACCUCUUUACGUGUAGAGAGCUGAAGGUACCAAAUGAAUAAGCACCGGCUAACUCCGUGCCAGCCGCCGCAGUAA